Molecule: ribosomal RNA, 446 nt
Filed under: uncultured bacterium
Lineage: Bacteria
Description: bacterial SSU rRNA
Rfam family: Bacterial small subunit ribosomal RNA
Source: RNAcentral
UCGGGAAUUUUGGGCAAUGGGCGAAAGCCUGACCCAGCAACGCCGCGUGAAGGAUGAAGUAUUUCGGUAUGUAAACUUCGAAAGAAUAGGAAGAAUAAAUGACGGUACUAUUUAUAAGGUCCGGCUAACUACGUGCCAGCAGCCGCGGUAAUACGUAGGGACCAAGCGUUGUUCGGAUUUACUGGGCGUAAAGGGCGCGUAGGCGGCAAUUCAAGUCAUCUGUGAAAUCUCCGGGCUUAACUCGGAACGGUCAGAUGAUACUGCUUUGCUAGAGUGCAGAAGGGGCAAUCGGAAUUCUUGGUGUAGCGGUGAAAUGCGUAGAUAUCAAGAGGAACACCUGAGGUGAAGACGGGUUGCUGGGCUGAUACUGACGCUGAGGCGCGAAAGCUAGGGUAGCAAACGGGAUUAGAUACCCAGUAGUCCCUGAGCGGGCUGGCAAGGCGCAU